Molecule: ribosomal RNA, 294 nt
Filed under: uncultured Syntrophorhabdaceae bacterium TA11
Lineage: Bacteria; Pseudomonadati; Thermodesulfobacteriota; Syntrophorhabdia; Syntrophorhabdales; Syntrophorhabdaceae
Description: partial 16S ribosomal RNA
Rfam family: Bacterial small subunit ribosomal RNA
Source: RNAcentral
GGAUGAGCCCGCGGCCUAUCAGCUUGUUGGUGGGGUAAUGGCCUACCAAGGCGACGACGGGUAGCCGGCCUGAGAGGGCGACCGGCCACACUGGGACUGAGACACGGCCCAGACUCCUACGGGAGGCAGCAGUGGGGAAAAUUGCACAAUGGGCGGAAGCCUGAUGCAGCGACGCCGCGUGGGGGAUGACGGCCUUCGGGUUGUAAACCCCUUUCGCCCGGGACGAAGCGAGAGUGACGGUACCGGGAGAAGAAGCACCGGCCAACUACGUGCCAGCAGCCGCGGCCGAAGCCG